RNAcentral lists this ribosomal RNA (357 nucleotides) under Triticum aestivum (bread wheat). RNAcentral describes it as "partial small subunit ribosomal RNA". Lineage: Eukaryota; Viridiplantae; Streptophyta; Magnoliopsida; Poales; Poaceae. The record is from RNAcentral.
AUGCAUGAUGGCUAUAUCUCUGACUUUUGUGAAAAGAUUGUUGAGGUUUUCAUGGAUGAUUUCUCCGUUUAUGGAUCUUCUUUUGAUGAUUGCUUGAGCAACCUUGAUCGAGUUUUGCAGAGGUGUGAAGAAACUAAUCUUGUCUUGAAUUGGGAGAAGUGCCACUUUAUGGUUAAUGAAGGCAUUGUCUUGGGACAUAAAAUUUCUGAAAGAGGUAUUGAAGUUGAUAAAUCUAAAGUUGAUGCUAUUGAAAAGAUGUCGUGUCCUAAAGACAUUAAAGGUAUAAGAAGUUUCCUUGGUCAUGCCGGUUUUUAUAGAGGUUUAUUAAGGACUUCUCUAAAAUUUCUAGGCCUCUGA